GUCCAGUUUUCCCAGGAAUCCCUUGGAUGCUAAGAUGGGGAUUCCUGGAAAUACUGUUCUU
RNAcentral lists this microRNA precursor (61 nucleotides) under Cavia porcellus (domestic guinea pig). Its description in RNAcentral is "microRNA cpo-mir-145 precursor". Its record names the gene cpo-mir-145. It matches the Rfam family "mir-145 microRNA precursor family", at positions 15 to 75 of the family's 86-position model. The record is from miRBase by way of RNAcentral. Lineage: Eukaryota; Metazoa; Chordata; Mammalia; Rodentia; Caviidae.